RNAcentral lists this ribosomal RNA (511 nucleotides) under Candida albicans. RNAcentral's name for it is "eukaryotic LSU rRNA". The stretch from base 144 to 297 matches the Rfam family "5.8S ribosomal RNA". Lineage: Eukaryota; Fungi; Ascomycota; Pichiomycetes; Serinales; Debaryomycetaceae. The record is from RNAcentral.
GGGCUAAGACUGCUUAUUGCACCACAUGUGUUUUUCUUUGAAACAAACUUGCUUUGGCGGUGGGCCCAGCCUGCCGCCAGAGGUCUAAACUUACAACCAAUUUUUUAUCAACUUGUCACACCAGAUUAUUACUUAAUAGUCAAAACUUUCAACAACGGAUCUCUUGGUUCUCGCAUCGAUGAAGAACGCAGCGAAAUGCGAUACGUAAUAUGAAUUGCAGAUAUUCGUGAAUCAUCGAAUCUUUGAACGCACAUUGCGCCCUCUGGUAUUCCGGAGGGCAUGCCUGUUUGAGCGUCGUUUCUCCCUCAAACCGCUGGGUUUGGUGUUGAGCAAUACGACUUGGGUUUGCUUGAAAGACGGUAGUGGUAAGGCGGGAUCGCUUUGACAAUGGCUUAGGUCUAACCAAAAACAUUGCUUGCGGCGGUAACGUCCACCACGUAUAUCUUCAAACUUUGACCUCAAAUCAGGUAGGACUACCCGCUGAACUUAAGCAUAUCAAAAGCCGGAGGAA